GUUGUUGAUGGUAAAAAUGAAACAAAAAUGGAGGUUGUUUUCUAUGUAUACGUGUGUUUGUGUGUUUUUAUAUAUAUAUUUUUGUGUGUGUUUUGAAGAGAAAAGUGGAAUAAAUAAAAUAUGCUUGUAUAUUUAUGAAUAUGUGUGUGGGUUCGCAAAGAAAAAAUAUUUAUGAGUUGUAAAAAAUAAAUAUAUGUGUACUUUGAA
Molecule: long non-coding RNA, 207 nt
Filed under: Capsicum annuum
Lineage: Eukaryota; Viridiplantae; Streptophyta; Magnoliopsida; Solanales; Solanaceae
Description: long non-coding RNA (CANN_LNC007878)
Source: RNAcentral